Molecule: small nucleolar RNA, 117 nt
Organism: Hevea brasiliensis (rubber tree)
Lineage: Eukaryota; Viridiplantae; Streptophyta; Magnoliopsida; Malpighiales; Euphorbiaceae
Product: small nucleolar RNA snoR100
Exons: 1
Source: RefSeq, a predicted model, not a curated record
CUAUGAAGGUAGCAUGGUAAGGUGCACAGAAAUUGAAUUUUAUGGGUCGACAUGUCUGCUCCCUCUGAUGCCUCUAUUGGAGGCUUUGAUUUGGGGGCCUGGUUCUGACCCACAUUU